RNAcentral lists this non-coding RNA (21 nucleotides) under Caenorhabditis elegans. Lineage: Eukaryota; Metazoa; Nematoda; Chromadorea; Rhabditida; Rhabditidae. The record is from RNAcentral.
UAAAAUACUUGAGAAAAAUUU